AUGCGAGAGUCCCUGGAUCGCACGCCCAGUUACCUCGCGCUCGCGGUGGAUCUCCUUCUCGACAUCAUCGCUCCCGGUGGAUCGAGACGGGAGGAGAACAACUCAACAAUGUGGAAACGUUGGUGCGGCCGGACAGCGGCGGUGCCGUCGUGGGAGCCCCUCCCGGUGGAUCUCCUUCUCGAAAUCAUUGCUCGCACUGACGUUACAACCGUCGUCCGCUGUGCCGCGACCGGCAGGAUCCUUCGGCGCGGCAUCCUCGACCCGGCCUUCCGGCGCAGCAUCAUGGCCCACGACCACGACGGCUUUGAUCCCGCCCUCCUCCUCGGCAUCUCCUACCGGGAACGCGGCGAUGUCACGACCCACCGCGUCAUCCACACCCCAGGGCCAACAAAGCUCACUGCCCGCCUCGACGAACUUAGCUUCCCGGACUCGCUCAGGGCCGUGGCCUCGCGGGGCAGCCUGGUCGUCCUCUGCCGGCACCCCCAAGGCCUUGAUGUCAAGCUGCGGGUGUGUGAUGCAUUCACCGGUCAUGUUACCUCACUCCCACCCGCGAGUUUGCCCGGCGUGUACCUCCACGUCGUGCUCAGCAUCGGUGACGCCGGCCGCUCCUUCGAGCUGCUCGUCGCGGACAAGAACAUACAGUUCCACCAGACAUUCUCGUCCAAGGGCGGUCAAUGGAGCGCCGUCCACCAGGUCUCCGUCCCCCACCCAGACAAACAUGUCGGCUCUUACUGCUCCGCCGUCAUCAGUCGCACCGUCUACUGGCCCUGUCAUGUCCACGCCGUCUCCUAUUGGGACCAUGUCCUCGCUCUGGACCUCGACGCGCGGGAGGCGACGAUGAUUAAGCUCCCACGGGGUUGCUUCUCCAGAAUGGCGGCCAGUAAGAAAAACGAGCACCUCCACCUGGCCUCAGUGCGCGCUCGGUUGUGCUUGCUAGUCGCCGAGAGCUGCGGCAUAGCGAUGUGGACGUUGACAGCGGCGACAUGGAGCCGACGGGUGGUUAUCAACACUCUGGAGAUCGCGAGGCAGGUGGGUUUCUCUCCCUACGAAUAUGCCCUUGUGCCGUUGAGUAUCGAGGGGUUCGGGGAGAGGAGCGGUGCCGUCAUCCUAUCACAGCCAAGGUCUGGUAUAAACAGUGGUGAGUUACUCCGACUCGACCUUGGAACUAUGGAGAAAGCGCCUGUCGUCACGAGUCUCAGUGGCCCUGGAAACGUAGUGCGGGUCGCGCGCUUGUUCUUGCACGAGGUUGAUUUACUCUCUUUACUGGAUUUACUGGAAACCAUGAAGCAUUUCUAA
RNAcentral lists this ribosomal RNA (1296 nucleotides) under Triticum aestivum (bread wheat). Its description in RNAcentral is "partial small subunit ribosomal RNA". The record is from RNAcentral. Lineage: Eukaryota; Viridiplantae; Streptophyta; Magnoliopsida; Poales; Poaceae.